ACGAACGCUGGCGGCGUGCUUAAUACAUGCAAGUCAACUUGACUUUAGAUAGCAAUAUCGAAAAGUAGGGUGGCGCACGGGUGCGUAACGCGUAGGUAAUCUGCCCUGAGGUCUGACAUAACCCGUCGAAAGGCGGGCUAACAUCAGAUGAUAUAUAGUCACGACAUCGUGGAAAUAUCAAAUCUUCGGAGCCUUGGGAUGAGCCUGCGUCUGAUUAGGUAGUUGGCGGAGUAAUAGCCCACCAAGCCUACGAUCAGUAGCUGGUCUGAGAGGAUGAUCAGCCACACUGGAACUGAGACACGGUCCAGACUCCUACGGGAGGCAGCAGUAAGGAAUAUUGCUCAAUGGGGGGAAACCCUGAAGCAGCAACGCCGCGUGAAGGAUGAAAUACUUUGUAUGUAAACUUCUGUAAGAUGGGAAAAAUAUUCUCCUCGGGAGAAUUGAUUGUACCAUCAGAGUAAGCCCCGGCUAACUACGUG
RNAcentral lists this ribosomal RNA (479 nucleotides) under uncultured bacterium. RNAcentral's name for it is "bacterial SSU rRNA". It matches the Rfam family "Bacterial small subunit ribosomal RNA", at positions 29 to 507 of the family's 1533-position model. The record is from RNAcentral.